AGUGCCGUAUGUGCUUGGAUUUGUGGGCUCGAGACCCAAAGGGUCAGGUGGCGAAACUUGGUGUGAGGACCCAGGAACUUGGCUUGUUGCCGAUAGAGGCGGUGGUUCAGGACACGACCUGGAACUGGCUGCGCAAGUGCAGACCACGUUUUCUUAUGUAACAUCAACUUGACACUGCAAGGCCUAGGACGCAUGUGCCACACACCGCCUUGCUUAGAUCAUCCCACAGCACAAUGAUAUAAAAGCUGUUGGAAUAAAGUAGCUGAUGCUGAUUCCUCCUCAUGUCGGCUCCCAGAGCUUUCUUUACCCUGGGCAUCUCACUGCGGAAACCUCCCCUGCAACCCCCGGUGCAUGACGCUUGGCAUAGUCGGCAGGAUGAGAGCUAGAUGCUGGAGCACGCAGCCUUCGAGAUGCCCUGGCAGGCUAGGGGUGGGCCAUCAACAAGGACAAAGUCCAAGGGCCUGGAAACUCUGUCAAGUCCUUGGGUGUUGUUUGGUCAGAGGGGAGACCUACGACUGCUUUGUUUCCUGGAUGCAGCUGGGUGGACUUUCUCCCUAGUAGCCUCUGCUUUCAGGAAUCUUCACUCUGGGUCCCGCCCUCAGUGGUGAAAUGCCUCAUGUGCCAUUUCUGUUCUGGCCACAUCGGGAAUUAACCUCCACGUCCAACAAGAGGUAAGCGGUGGGCCAGCCCUGGGGGUUCCAUGAGAGCCAUGCAGAUGGGCCAAGGCAGAAGAAGUAACUAUCUGCAUGGUGUUUAUUGAAAGCUAUUAUGUGAGUUUAAAAAAAAAAAAAGUUUAAAAGGUGGAAGGGUCUCUUCUUUGGCCACACAUAUGCUGGGUUUCCCAGCUCUGUGUCAGGAGUUACUGGGAAUUGUGACAGCCUUGCUGGGAUCAUCUGCUUCCUGG
Long non-coding RNA from Molossus molossus (Pallas's mastiff bat), 904 nucleotides. RefSeq lists it as uncharacterized. The transcript is spliced from 3 exons. NCBI's taxonomy places the organism in Eukaryota, Metazoa, Chordata, Mammalia, Chiroptera, Molossidae. The record is from RefSeq and is a predicted model, not a curated record.